GACGAACGCUGGCGGCGUGCCUAAUACAUGCAAGUAGAACGCUGAAGAGAGGAGCUUGCUCUUCUUGGAUGAGUUGCGAACGGGUGAGUAACGCGUAGGUAACCUGCCUGGUAGCGGGGGAUAACUAUUGGAAACGAUAGCUAAUACCGCAUAAAAUGGAUUAUCGCAUGAUAAUUCAUUGAAAGGUGCAAAUGCAUCACUACCAGAUGGACCUGCGUUGUAUUAGCUAGUUGGUGGGGUAACGGGCUCACCAAGGCGACGAUACAUAGCCGACCUGAGAGGGUGAUCGGCCACACUGGGACUGAGACACGGCCCAGACUCCUACGGGAGGCAGCAGUAGGGAAUCUUCGGCAAUGGACGGAAGUCUGACCGAGCAACGCCGCGUGAGUGAAGAAGGUUUUCGGAUCGUAAAGCUCUGUUGUAAGAGAAGAACGGGUGUGAGAGUGGAAAGUUCACACUGUGACGGUAUCUUACCAG
RNAcentral lists this ribosomal RNA (477 nucleotides) under uncultured bacterium. RNAcentral describes it as "bacterial SSU rRNA". It matches the Rfam family "Bacterial small subunit ribosomal RNA", at positions 28 to 486 of the family's 1533-position model. The record is from RNAcentral.